AUACAGAGGGUGCAAGCGUUAAUCGGAUUUACUGGGCGUAAAGCGCGCGUAGGUGGCUAAUUAAGUCAAAUGUGAAAUCCCCGAGCUUAACUUGGGAAUUGCAUUCGAUACUGGUUAGCUAGAGUAUGGGAGAGGAUGGUAGAAUUCCAGGUGUAGCGGUGAAAUGCGUAGAGAUCUGGAAGAAUACCGAUGGCGAAGGCAGCCAUCUGGCCUAAUACUGACACUGAGGUGCGAAAGCAUGGGGAGCAAACAGGAUUAGAUACCCUGGUAGUCCAUGCCGUAAACGAUGUCUACUAGCCGUUGGGGCCCUUGAGGCUUUAGUGGCGCAGCUAACGCGAUAAGUAGACCGCCUGGGGAGUACGGUCGCAAGACUAAAACUCAAAGGAAUUGACGGGG
Molecule: ribosomal RNA, 396 nt
Filed under: uncultured bacterium
Lineage: Bacteria
Description: partial 16S ribosomal RNA
Rfam family: Bacterial small subunit ribosomal RNA
Source: RNAcentral